RNAcentral lists this ribosomal RNA (247 nucleotides) under uncultured bacterium. Its description in RNAcentral is "partial 16S ribosomal RNA". It matches the Rfam family "Bacterial small subunit ribosomal RNA", at positions 15 to 257 of the family's 1533-position model. The record is from RNAcentral.
GAUCCUGGCUCAGGACGAACGCUAGCGGCAGGCCUAACACAUGCAAGUCGAGGGGCAGCACGGUGUAGCAAUACACUGGUGGCGACCGGCGCACGGGUGCGUAACGCGUAUGCAACCUACCCAUAACAGGGGGGAUAACACUGAGAAAUUGGUACUAAUACCCCAUAACAUCAGGACCGGCAUCGGUUCUGGUUGAAAACUCCGGUGGUUAUGGAUGGGCAUGCGUUGUAUUAGCUGGUUGGUGAGG